Molecule: long non-coding RNA, 1131 nt
Filed under: Homo sapiens (human)
Lineage: Eukaryota; Metazoa; Chordata; Mammalia; Primates; Hominidae
Description: HSALNT0074811
Source: RNAcentral
GUCAGGGACAGCUAGUGUGGGAGCAGAUUUUAGGGCUGUUUUUAAGGAAUGGAAAGAGGAAUGGGGAAAGGAUUUAGGAUCUAUGGGGUCAGCUAGAUUUCCUUUUGUGAGUUUAUAUAAUGGUUUAGUCAGGAUGUUAAAACUAGGUAUCCAAAGGUGAAAGUAUCUAACCAUGCCCAAGAAGGAAAGGAGUUGUUGCUUUGUAGAAGGAGUUGGGGUUUGGGAGAUUAGCCAGAGAAGAUCAGCAGACAGAGCAUGUGUGUUUUUAUGAAGAAUUAUGCCGAGAUAGGUAACGGAUGAGGAAGAAAUUUGGGCUUUGGAGGGGGAUACACGAUAGCCUUUUGAGAAUAGACGUUGGAGGAGCAGGAGGGUGUUCUGUUGGGAAGAUUUGUAGGAGGGGCUAUAAAGUAGAAGGUUAUCAAAAUAUUUAAUAGGGUGAGAAGCAGAUGGAUGGAAAGAAAGUAAAUCAUGAGAAAGGGCUUUACUGAAGAAAUGGGGGCUGUCCAUGAAGAUUUGCGGCAGUACAACCCAGGCUGUGAAGCUGAGAGCUGGAUAUAUAUAAAGUUUAGAGCUGCUGUAACCCUCUUGCAAUCUCAGAGGAGCUCCUGGAAUUGCAAGAUAGACUGCAUGGAGCCUGAAGAUGAAGCCCUCAUAGCAAGAGGCGGAGUGAAGAGACAGAGAAAUGGAGUCAUUAAGGACAUUGGUUAAGUCCUUGUUUUCAGUAGUGCCUGUAAUCAGCCAUUCUGGUGGAUUUUUCAGUUACUUGACUUUAAUAAUAAACAGUUGCGCUGUAAUCAUAAAUACCUCCUAAAUGCUCACGUGCUUACAACAACAAAAAUUAUCUCUUGCUGAUGCUACAUGGGCUACCUGCAGCGCUGCUUUAUUGUUGUUUUUAAUCUGGGACUCAGUAAAAUAGAGCAGUCUCUCUCUAGAAAAUCACCUGUUGUAACGGAGGAAAAGAAAAGUAGGAAAAGAAGUGCUCGCUCUAAACUAUCUGCCUGAAGUUGCUUGCUUCCCACUUGCAUAUAAUUGGCCAGAACAAAUCACAUGGUCAAGAUUGAUGUCACAGGGUGGAGAGGGGCAGCAAAGUUUUUUGAAAAAUAAUAAUGCAAUCUACAAGUAAAUUUCCCU